Molecule: non-coding RNA, 117 nt
Filed under: Nomascus leucogenys (northern white-cheeked gibbon)
Lineage: Eukaryota; Metazoa; Chordata; Mammalia; Primates; Hylobatidae
Source: Rfam by way of RNAcentral
GCCGGGCGUGGUGGCUCACGCCUGUAAUCCCAGCACUCUGGGAGGCCAAGGCGGGUGGAUCACCUGAGGUCAGGAGUUUGAGACCAGCCUGGCCAACAUGGUGAAACCCCGUCUCUA